RNAcentral lists this ribosomal RNA (253 nucleotides) under uncultured bacterium. RNAcentral's name for it is "partial 16S ribosomal RNA". It matches the Rfam family "Bacterial small subunit ribosomal RNA", at positions 524 to 776 of the family's 1533-position model. The record is from RNAcentral.
UACGUAGGGUGCAAGCGUUGUCCGGAAUUAUUGGGCGUAAAGGGCUCGUAGGCGGUUCGUCACGUCGGGAGUGAAAACUCGGGGCUCAACCCCGAGCCUGCUUUCGAUACGGGCGGACUAGAGGGAGGUAGGGGAGAACGGAAUUCCUGGUGUAGCGGUGGAAUGCGCAGAUAUCAGGAGGAACACCGGUGGCGAAGGCGGUUCUCUGGGCCGUACCUGACGCUGAGGAGCGAAAGCGUGGGGAGCGAACAGG